RNAcentral lists this ribosomal RNA (468 nucleotides) under uncultured bacterium. RNAcentral's name for it is "partial 16S ribosomal RNA". It matches the Rfam family "Bacterial small subunit ribosomal RNA", at positions 28 to 507 of the family's 1533-position model. The record is from RNAcentral.
GACGAACGCUGGCGGCGUGCUUAACACAUGCAAGUCGAACGGACAGGCCCUGCUUUUGUGGGGUUCUCGAGUGGCGAACGGGUGAGUAACACGUGAGUAACCUGCCCUUGACUUUGGGAUAACUUCAGGAAACUGGGGCUAAUACCGGAUAUGAGCUCCUGCUGCAUGGUGUGGGUUGGAAAGUUUCGGCGGUUGGGGAUGGACUCGCGGCUUAUCAGCUUGUUGGUGGGGUAGUUGCUUACCAAGGCUUUGACGGGUAGCCGGCCUGAGAGGGUGACCGGCCACAUUGGGACUGAGAUACGGACCAGACGCCUACGGGAGGCAGCAGUGGGGAAUAUUGCACAAUGGGCGGAAGCCUGAGGCAGCAACGCCGCGUGCGGGAUGACGGCCUUCGGGGUGUAAACCGCUUUCGCCGGUGACGAAGAGUGAGUGACGGUAAUGGGUAAAGAAGCACCGGCUAACUACGUG